UCCGGUUUGGCACCGGCGGUCUCCCAUGAGUCCCCGGCAUGACCCGCUGGCAACAUGGGACAGGGGUUGCGCUCGUUGCGCCACUUAAGGCAACACCUCACGGCACGAGCUGACGACAGCCAUGCAGCACCUGUGCUAGCCCCUUACGGACACGGGCUUUCACCCGCUUUAACUAGCAUGUCAAACCCAGGUAAGGUGGGGAUGACGUGGAACGGUUGGUU
This 221-nucleotide unclassified non-coding RNA is filed under the name uncultured Actinomycetes bacterium. RNAcentral describes it as "uncultured actinobacterium contains 16S-23S intergenic spacer region". Lineage: Bacteria; Bacillati; Actinomycetota; Actinomycetes. The record is from RNAcentral.